This 467-nucleotide ribosomal RNA is filed under the name uncultured bacterium. Its description in RNAcentral is "partial 16S ribosomal RNA". It matches the Rfam family "Bacterial small subunit ribosomal RNA", at positions 28 to 506 of the family's 1533-position model. The record is from RNAcentral.
GACGAACGCUGGCGGCGUGCUUAACACAUGCAAGUCGAACGGAAAGGCCCUGCUUUUGUGGGGUGCUCGAGUGGCGAACGGGUGAGUAACACGUGAGUAACCUGCCCUUGACUUUGGGAUAACUUCAGGAAACUGGGGCUAAUACCGGAUAGGAGCUCCUGCUGCAUGGUGGGGGUUGGAAAGUUUCGGCGGUUGGGGAUGGACUCGCGUCUUAUCAGCUUGUUGGUGGGGUAGUGGCUUACCAAGGCUUUGACGGGUAGCCGGCCUGAGAGGGUGACCGGCCACAUUGGGACUGAGAUACGGCCCAGACUCCUACGGGAGGCAGCAGUGGGGAAUAUUGCACAAUGGGCGGAAGCCUGAUGCAGCAACGCCGCGUGCGGGAUGACGGCCUUCGGGUUGUAAACCGCUUUCGCCUGUGACGAAGCGUGAGUGACGGUAAUGGGUAAAGAAGCACCGGCUAACUACGU